UUAUUAGAUUAUAAUAAGACUACUUUUGUUACUACAGAUGUUUAUAAAAAGGGGCAGAUGGGCAACGAAUCGCCACAUCUUACAGUUCACAGGUGUUAUGGAUGUGAGGGUGUGAAGGCCUUGCCAAAGCGAAGACCGACACGUUAUUCACUAAUGAUCCUUCCGCAGGUUCACCUACGGAAA
Molecule: unclassified non-coding RNA, 183 nt
Filed under: uncultured fungus
Lineage: Eukaryota; Fungi
Description: sequence contains ITS1
Source: RNAcentral